Molecule: ribosomal RNA, 253 nt
Filed under: uncultured bacterium
Lineage: Bacteria
Description: partial 16S ribosomal RNA
Rfam family: Bacterial small subunit ribosomal RNA
Source: RNAcentral
UACAGAGGGGGCAAGCGUUGUUCGGAAUUACUGGGCGUAAAGGGUGCGUAGGUGGCGUCGUAAGUCAGGUGUGAAAUCUCGGGGCUCAACCCCGAAACUGCACUUGAUACUGCGAUGCUUGAGUACUGGAGAGGAGAUUGGAAUUUACGGUGUAGCAGUGAAAUGCGUAGAUAUCGUAAGGAAGACCAGUGGCGAAGGCGAAUCUCUGGACAGUUACUGACACUGAGGCACGAAGGCCAGGGGAGCAAACGGG